UACGUAGGGUGCGAGCGUUGCCCGGAUUUAUUGGGCGUAAAGGGCGCGUAGGCGGCUCGGCACGUCCGUUGUGAAAUCGCCCGGCUCAACUGGGCGGGGUCAGCGGAUACGGUCGAGCUUGAGCAAGCUAGGGGGUAAUGGAAUUCCCGGUGUAGUGGUGGAAUGCGUAGAUAUCGGGAGGAACACCAGUGGCGAAGGCGACUACCUGGCCUGUUCUUGACGCUGAGGCGCGAAAGCUAGGGGAGCAAACGGG
RNAcentral lists this ribosomal RNA (253 nucleotides) under uncultured bacterium. Its description in RNAcentral is "partial 16S ribosomal RNA". It matches the Rfam family "Bacterial small subunit ribosomal RNA", at positions 524 to 776 of the family's 1533-position model. The record is from RNAcentral.